This 492-nucleotide ribosomal RNA is filed under the name uncultured bacterium. RNAcentral's name for it is "partial 16S ribosomal RNA". It matches the Rfam family "Bacterial small subunit ribosomal RNA", at positions 28 to 507 of the family's 1533-position model. The record is from RNAcentral.
GAUGAACGCUAGCUACGGGCUUAACACAUGCAAGUCGAGGGGAAACGGCAUUAAGUGCUUGCACUUUUUGGACGUCGACCGGCGCACGGGUGAGUAACGCGUAUCCAACCUUCCCAUGACUAAGGGAUAACCUGCCGAAAGGCAGACUAAUACCUUAUGGUCUUCACUGACGGCAUCAGAUGUGAAGUAAAGAUUUAUCGGUUAUGGAUGGGGAUGCGUCUGAUUAGCUUGUUGGCGGGGUAACGGCCCACCAAGGCAACGAUCAGUAGGGGUUCUGAGAGGAAGGUCCCCCACAUUGGAACUGAGACACGGUCCAAACUCGUACGCGAGGCAGCAGUGAGGAAUAUUGGUCAAUGGGCGAGAGCCUGAACCAGCCAAGUCGCGUGCAGGAUGACGGCCUUAUGGGUUGUAAACUGCUUUUGUAUGGGGAUAAAGUCAAUCACGUGUGAUUGUUUGCAGGUACCAUACGAAUAAGGACCGGCUAAUUCCGUG